Molecule: ribosomal RNA, 504 nt
Filed under: uncultured bacterium
Lineage: Bacteria
Description: partial 16S ribosomal RNA
Rfam family: Bacterial small subunit ribosomal RNA
Source: RNAcentral
AUUGAACGCUGGCGGCAGGCCUAACACAUGCAAGUCGAGCGGUAGCACAGAGAGCUUGCUCUCGGGUGACGAGCGGCGGACGGGUGAGUAAUGUCUGGGAAACUGCCUGAUGGAGGGGGAUAACUACUGGAAACGGUAGCUAAUACCGCAUAACGUCGCAAGACCAAAGAGGGGGACCUUCGGGCCUCUUGCCAUCAGAUGUGCCCAGAUGGGAUUAGCUAGUAGGUGGGGUAACGGCUCACCUAGGCGACGAUCCCUAGCUGGUCUGAGAGGAUGACCAGCCACACUGGAACUGAGACACGGUCCAGACUCCUACGGGAGGCAGCAGUGGGGAAUAUUGCACAAUGGGCGCAAGCCUGAUGCAGCCAUGCCGCGUGUAUGAAGAAGGCCUUCGGGUUGUAAAGUACUUUCAGCGGGGAGGAAGGUGUUGUGGUUAAUAACCACAGCAAUUGACGUUACCCGCAGAAGAAGCACCGGCUAACUCCGUGCCAGCAGCCGCGGUAA